Pelobates cultripes (western spadefoot toad) is the source of this 208-nucleotide non-coding RNA. Lineage: Eukaryota; Metazoa; Chordata; Amphibia; Anura; Pelobatidae. The record is from the annotation of a GenBank genome assembly.
AGGCAUAAUAACACAUAUACCGUAUAUACUCGAGUAUAAGCCGACCCGAAUAUAAGCCGAGGCCCCUAAUUUUACCCCCAAAAACUGGGAAAACGUAUUGACUCGAGUAUAAGACUAGGGUGGGAAAUGCAGCAGCUACUGGUAAAUUUCUAAAUAAAAUUAGAUCCUAAAAAAAUUAUAUUAAUUGAAUAUUUAUUUACAGUGUGUG